GACGAACGCUGGCGGCGUGCUUAACACAUGCAAGUCGAACGGAAAGGCCCCUUUGGGGGUACUCUAGUGGCGAACGGGUGAGUAACGCGUGAGUAACCUGCCCUUGACUUCGGGAUAACUUCAGGAAACUGGGGCUAAUACCGGAUAGGAAUCCUUGCUGCAUGGUGGGGGUUGGAAAGCUUCGGCGGUUUUGGAUGGACUCGCGGCUUAUCAGCUUGUUGGUGGGGUAGUGGCUUACCAAGGCUUUGACGGGUAGCCGGCCUGAGAGGGCGACCGGCCACAUUGGGACUGAGAUACGGCCCAGACUCCUACGGGAGGCAGCAGUGGGGAAUAUUGCACAAUGGGCGGAAGCCUGAUGCAGCAACGCCGCGUGCGGGAUGACGGCCUUCGGGUUGUAAACCGCUUUCAGCAGGGGCGAAGCUUGUGGUGACGGUACCUGCAGAAGAAGCACCGGCUAACUACGUG
RNAcentral lists this ribosomal RNA (465 nucleotides) under uncultured bacterium. Its description in RNAcentral is "partial 16S ribosomal RNA". It matches the Rfam family "Bacterial small subunit ribosomal RNA", at positions 28 to 507 of the family's 1533-position model. The record is from RNAcentral.